UACAGAGACUGCAAGCGUUAUUCGGAUUCACUGGGCGUAAAGGGUGCGCAGGCGGCCGUGUGUGUGAGGCGUGAAAGCCCGGGGCUUAACCCCGGAAUUGCACCUCAAACUACAUGGCUAGAGCAUUGGAGAGGGUAGCGGAAUUCACGGUGUAGCAGUGAAAUGCGUAGAUAUCGUGAGGAACACCAGAGGCGAAGGCGGCUACCUGGACAAUUGCUGACACUCAGGCACGAAAGCGUGGGGAGCAAAAGGG
This 253-nucleotide ribosomal RNA is filed under the name uncultured bacterium. RNAcentral describes it as "partial 16S ribosomal RNA". It matches the Rfam family "Bacterial small subunit ribosomal RNA", at positions 524 to 776 of the family's 1533-position model. The record is from RNAcentral.